UACGUAGGCAGCAAGCGUUGUUCGGAGUUACUGGGCGUAAAGGGUGUGUAGGCGGUGCUCUAAGUUCGGUGUGAAAUCUCCUGGCUCAACUGGGAGGGUGCGCCGGAAACUGGAGUGCUUGAGCGUGGGAGAGGAAAGCGGAAUUCCUGGUGUAGCGGUGAAAUGCGUAGAUAUCAGGAGGAACACCUGUGGUGUAGACGGCUUUCUGGACCAUAGCUGACGCUGAGACACGAAAGCGUGGGUAGCAAACAGG
This 253-nucleotide ribosomal RNA is filed under the name uncultured bacterium. Its description in RNAcentral is "partial 16S ribosomal RNA". It matches the Rfam family "Bacterial small subunit ribosomal RNA", at positions 524 to 776 of the family's 1533-position model. The record is from RNAcentral.